Long non-coding RNA from Microcebus murinus (gray mouse lemur), 576 nucleotides. RefSeq lists it as uncharacterized. The record is from RefSeq and is a predicted model, not a curated record. Lineage: Eukaryota; Metazoa; Chordata; Mammalia; Primates; Cheirogaleidae.
AUGCGUAUUCUGGGAAGCGCCUCCAAUUGGGGCGGACAGGAGUGAGACUGGGCGUGGCCCUUCUGUGAGACCUGGAAGGAUUUAUAACGACAGAACCCACUCACUGUGCUAUGGGAGAGUCCAGCUAGCCCAUGCAGAAAGACUACAUGGAGAGGCCACAUAUGGGUGCUCCCGUGUCAGCCCAGCUGAGGUCCUAGCCAAUGGUUGUCAACAACUGCCAGAUGUGUGAAUGAAGAUGCCUCUAAAUGACACCAGCCCUUGGAAUGUCUGUGUGGUGAGGGUGUUGCAAGAAGAACAUCGUUAGGCAGUUGCUGAGUCAGGAUGACCACAUUCACCAGCAGGAAAUCCUGGACACUCAGAAGGGCCCGGCUCUCAGAUGGCUCCGCCCAUGGGCUCCUCCGGCUUGUGUUCCUGGCUGCCCAGGAACCUGCUGAGCUCCUCACCUUCCCCAGCAGUGAGCUGCCGUCAGCACAAAGUCUUCUCGCACCAGGAACCCCCCACAAACGCUUGUUCUUCUGGCAGACUGGAUCUGAAGGAUAUUUGAGAGUCUCACUCUGUUGGCCAUGCUAGAGUGCA